This 253-nucleotide ribosomal RNA is filed under the name uncultured bacterium. RNAcentral's name for it is "partial 16S ribosomal RNA". It matches the Rfam family "Bacterial small subunit ribosomal RNA", at positions 524 to 776 of the family's 1533-position model. The record is from RNAcentral.
UACGGAGGGUGCAAGCGUUGUCCGGAAUCACUGGGCGUAAAGGGCGCGUAGGCGGCCUGGUAAGUAGGGGGUGAAAUCCUGCGGCUUAACCGCAGGGCUGCCUUCUAAACUGUCAGGCUUGAGCACGGUAGAGGCAGAUGGAAUUCCCGGUGUAGCGGUGGAAUGCGUAAAGAUCGGGAAGAACAUCAGUGGCGAAGGCGGUCUGCUGGGCCGUUGCUGACGCUGAGGCGCGACAGCGUGGGGAGCAAACAGG